RNAcentral lists this long non-coding RNA (1990 nucleotides) under Salmo salar (Atlantic salmon). RNAcentral describes it as "lncRNA (ENSSSAG00000119336.1)". The record is from RNAcentral. Lineage: Eukaryota; Metazoa; Chordata; Actinopteri; Salmoniformes; Salmonidae.
GGGGUAUUGUGAUGUCAUUACGGGGGUAUUGUGACGUCAUUACGGGGGUAUUGUGAUGUCAUUACGGGGUAUUGUGACGUCAUUACGGGGGUAUUGUGAUGUCAUUACGGGGUAUUGUGACGUCAUUACGGGGUAUUGUGACGUCAUUAUGGGGGUAUUGUGAUGUCAUUACGGGGUAUUGUGACGUCAUUACGGGGUAUUGUGACGUCAUUAUGGGGGUAUUGUGUGUAGAUUGAUGAGGGGGGAAAAAAACAGAUAUCUCUAGCGUUACAGACAGAUUUUGCCAGGGAUUUUUUUAUUAUUAUGUUAAUUCUAUUUCAGCGGGGCUGCGGAAAUUGUUGGCUAAGGGUUAAGGGUUCAGUGAAAUCUCCACCCACCGGGACAUGCAAAACAAACUCCCGCUCUCACAUAUCCUCACCCCACUCUUCCAUAUGCAGCCUAACAUUGAAGCAUUGUAAUGAACAAGAUGGGAGACAGAGAGCUGGUUUCAAGAGCAGGGUGCAGAAGGUGUUUAUAGGUAAAGGACCACAGGAGGAGACAGGAAGCUGGGUCCAGGGGCAGGAAGCUGGGUCCAGGGGCAGGAAGCUGGGUCCAGGGGCAGGUAGCUGGGUCCAGGGGCAGGAAGCUGGGUCCAGGGGCAGGCAGAAGGUCAUACACAGGAGGAGGCAGGUAGCUGGGUCCAGGGGCAGGCAGAAGGUCAUACACAGGAGGAGGCAGGUAGCUGGGUCCAGGGGCAGGCAGGUCAUACACAGCAGGAGGUAGGUAGCUGGGUCCAGGGGCAGGCAGAAGGUCAUACACAGGAGGAGGCAGGUAGCUGGGUCCAGGGGCAGGCAGAAGGUCAUACACAGGAGGAGGCAGGUAGCUGGGUCCAGGGGCAGGCAGGUCAUACACAGGAGGAGGCAGGUAGCUGGGUCCAGGGGCAGGUAGCUGGGUCCAGGGGCAGGCAGAAGGUCAUACACAGGAGGAGGCAGGUAGCUGGGUCCAGGGGCAGGCAGAAGGUCAUACACAGGGGGUCCAAAAAGGUAACAUUACAGGCAGGGAAAAGGAUACUAACGUUGUCCGGGUGAUCAGGCAACAGGUUGAUAACAGGAAAUCCGAUAGGCUGAAGUACAGGCAGGGAAAAGGCAAAAAGGCGUCGUUAGGAUGAUUACAUCACGGGAAACACAGCGCUCCGAAUAGAAGUGUGUCACAAAACAAACAAUACCUCACAGUGACGGUGUGCAAAGAACUGAACUAAAUAGUGUGUGAUAAUGACAUACAGGUGUGUGAACAGGUGAUCAGAAUACAGGUGUCGGGGAUCUGGAGAGUGAGCUGCGUUCAGGGGGAUCUACGUUUUUUUGAGAGUUUGAGUUGGGAAGCAGACGUUACAAGCUUCUCUUCGAGAAGCCCAUUCUUUUUCAUGUUCUUCCUGUGCCAUCCAAAUUUGUGCAUAGCCUAGUCAGUGGUCAGUUAUAUCAGGCUAGGUAACAUGACUUGCUAACUAAACAAUGUCGUUUGUUAUCAACCCCCCCCCCCAAAAAUGGAUUGUUCGUGAGUAGUUGAAAGCGUCCCCGCGACUGGCGCACAAAUCCACGGCAGGAAGAAAGAACAUCGCUCCGGUAAUAUUGGCCAUAACUUUGACAUGAUUUGUGCUAGAGACACACGGUCUUCAGCGAUGUAAAGGAGUUCAAUGUAAAGGCACAAACAUUGACUGUAGCGGUGUUGUGUUCUGCCUUUAAAAGGGUCCUUGCGGAAACGUGUGCUUUAAAAGGUUCCUAGCGGAAACGUUUGCUUGAAAAGGUUCCUUGCAGGAAACGUGUGCUUUAAAAAGGUUCCUAGAGGAAAAUAAAUUGAUUAAUGGUGUUCCCCCCCAAAAAAUGUAACCUGAUAAUAAAUGUCAUGCAUUAACACAAUAUAAACAUGUUAACUUUGACAACCCGAAUAUGUAUAAUUAUAUACAGCAUAUAUAUAAAAAAAAUUGUUUUCCCCCUCUGAUGAGAGCUGUACAUAU